AAACAAAACACGAAACGUUCCCCUGGGCACUAAAUCCUCACGUUAACGUACACACACAAACACACGCCCUCCUCUCCCACUUCCUCUUCCAUACCCCUUCCUCGAGGCCCCCCACCCCUGAUUUUCGGCACCCCCAGUCCCAAUCAUAAUUGGCGCCCGCGCAGCCCUCUUUGGACACACACGCGCGCCCACGCACGCGCUCCCCUCCCCGGCAGGCGGGGGCGGCUUCGGCCGGGAGCCGGCGGAGCCCGCUUCGGAUUCCAGGUGUGGCAGUAACUCCGCGCUCCACGUUUUGCAGGCUGCCACCGUGUUGGAGGCGAGGCGAGGAAGGGAGCUGGAAUAACAAAGGGAGGUAAUGGGGUAGAUUGGAUACCUCUGGGGUCUUGGAAGAAGCUAUGACUUAUUUACUGUCUACUAUGUGGCCGACAAGAGAGAUAAAUUCCGUAAUGGGAGCUGCGGCCCUGCUCUCCUGUCCUGGUGGAGCUUUGGCUGAUGGAAAGAAGCCACCUUGUCCCAGCUCUGCCCUUC
This 528-nucleotide long non-coding RNA is filed under the name Pan troglodytes (chimpanzee). RNAcentral's name for it is "long non-coding RNA NONPTRT002246". The record is from RNAcentral. Lineage: Eukaryota; Metazoa; Chordata; Mammalia; Primates; Hominidae.